Molecule: ribosomal RNA, 253 nt
Filed under: uncultured bacterium
Lineage: Bacteria
Description: partial 16S ribosomal RNA
Rfam family: Bacterial small subunit ribosomal RNA
Source: RNAcentral
UACGUAGGGUGCAAGCGUUGUCCGGAAUUAUUGGGCGUAAAGAGCUCGUAGGCGGUUUGUUGCGUCGGCUGUGAAAUCCCGAGGCUCAACCUCGGGUCUGCAGUCGAUACGGGCAGACUAGAGGUAGGUAGGGGAGAAUGGAAUUCCCGGUGUAGCGGUGAAAUGCGCAGAUAUCAGGAGGAACACCGAUGGCGAAGGCAGGUCUCUGGGCCGAUACUGACGCUGAGGAGCGAAAGCGUGGGGAGCGAACAGG